GUUUUAUUUUUAAACCUGAUAAUUUAUAUACAAUUUCUCCAUAUAUUUUUAACAAUAUAUAUUUUGUUAACGUUAAAAAAACCGUACCAUAUAUUUAUUUUCUUACUUACAUGGUUGAACAAAUAAAAAUAUAUAAAUAUAUAAAAAAAAAAAUAAUAAAAAUAGCUGAUGAAUUAAUAGUUGAAACUAUUAACUUUUUUAAAAAACAAAGAGAGGUUAUUAAAGUCGUUGGAAAAAAAAAAAAAUAAAAUAACACAUUGCCACUUUGAUGUAAAACAAAAUGGGAAAAAUGGGAAAAAUGGGAAAAAUGGGAAAAAUGGGCAAAGCGAAAAAAGCGAUAAAAAUGAGCAAUAUAAGCAACAUGAACAAAAUCGUGCCUCUGUUUUAUACAAUCAGACGAUGGAAUAUGCUACAAAUAAAUUGAACGAAUUCGGGAUAGGUACUAGUGAUAAUCUGAUAACAUCCUCAACAAAUAAACACAUGGAUAGUGAAGAUGCCAAAGUCGUAAGAAUUGGUGACGACAUUUACAAUGAGUAUAGCAAUUUAGACAACUCCAGGGUAGAAGAAGGAGGAGGAAACAAAAGAAAAAAAGAAAAAAAAAAACGGUAUAAAUAAUGGUAUAAAUAAUGGUAUAAAUAAUGGUAUAAAUAAUAGUAGCAACAUAAAUAAUGACAGUGAUGAAGAAUUUUUUAACGAAACAAAUAAAGGGAUCUUAAAUAUUUUGCAUUAUAAUGAUACAUAUACUACUAUACAUAUAAAUAGUCUAAUUAGUACGUUUGUAAAAUUAAUUAUACAUUUUUUAACCGAAUUAAAAGAUAAAAAAGAAUAUACUAAAAAAAUUAUUGACAAUCAUAUAAAUAAUAUUAUUACCAUCAGUUUUAUUUACACAUUUACAUGUUUUUUAAAUACUAAAAUAAGAAAUUCUUUUGAAAGUUAUAUCUUUAAAAGCAUAAAUAAUAUAUCUAUUAUUCCAAGAAAUACUUCUUUUAUAUAUAUUUACUACAACAUAGAAUCCAAUAAAAUAUUAAAACAUGAUAAUAUUCAUAUUAAUGAAAAUAUAAAUAUAAAUACAAAAAAAUUAAUAAACAAUUAUUUAUUUUUUAAUAAUGAAUAUUUUCUUUUUAAUGAUUCUAAUACCUUAUCAAUAAAAAGAUUUUUUGAAAUAAGUUUUAAUUUAGGUAUGCCAUUUGCCGUAAUGGGAAAUCCCUGUUCGGCUAAAUCAUUGUGUGUUAAAAACUGUCUAGAAUCAUAUUUAAAAAAACAAAUAAAAAAUAAUAAUAAUAAUAUAUAUUAUUUUAAUUUUCGAUUUAAUUAUAUGUUUAAGUAUACACAAAUCGUUAAUAAAUUGAAAAAAAUAUUUCAAUUCACGAGUGAGUACAUACCUGAAGAUGUACUUAUAUUUAUUGAUGACAUUAAUUGCCUGGGUUCGGAGCGUACUCAGUAUACUAUGGACUUUCUCUACAAUUUGGCUGUUUCGAAGAGUUACCUGGUGACUAACGAAAACAGAAAAGUGUAUCUGCCUAACAACAAAAUCGUUUGUACUUUAGAUAAUGAACAUAUUGUAGUCGAAGAAAAUGAUACACAUAAUGUUUCCAAACUUUAUAAAAAGUUUUUAGUUCUAAACUUAUCGAGCAUAGGAUUAAAAGACAUACAUAACAUCUACUCAAACAUUAUUGAGUUUUUAUUUAUGAAACAUAACUUUUGCGACGAACUGAUCAUCGAGUGCAACAACGUAAUCUCAUGUAUCCUAAAACAUCCGAAGAAAUAAGUCAUAAAAGAAAAGAAAAUACAUUUUCCAUACAUACGAACAAACUAACAAAUGUAAUAAAUUAUUUGCUUUUAUACA
This is a long non-coding RNA of Piliocolobus tephrosceles (Ugandan red Colobus), 1846 nucleotides long. The record is from Ensembl. NCBI's taxonomy places the organism in Eukaryota, Metazoa, Chordata, Mammalia, Primates, Cercopithecidae.